This 421-nucleotide ribosomal RNA is filed under the name Macrobrachium nipponense. RNAcentral describes it as "partial 16S ribosomal RNA". It matches the Rfam family "Bacterial large subunit ribosomal RNA", at positions 1836 to 2516 of the family's 2925-position model. Lineage: Eukaryota; Metazoa; Arthropoda; Malacostraca; Decapoda; Palaemonidae. The record is from RNAcentral.
UGUAUAAGUUAUAAAGUCUAGCCUGCCCACUGAUUGAUUUAAAGGGCCGCGGUAACUUGCCCGUGCGAAGGUAGCAUAGUCAGUAGUCUUUUAAUUGAAGGCUUGAAUGAAAGGUUGGACGAGGGAUGAGCUGUCUCCUUUAUGUAAUUUGAAUUUAACUUUUGAGUGAAAAGGCUCAAAUUAUCUAGUGGGACGAUAAGACCCUAUAAAACUUUAUAUAAGUUUAAUUUGGCUUACAAUUUGAGUGAAAAGUAGCUUUAUUAGGCUUAUAUUUCGUUGGGGAGAUGUAGAUAUAAUAUGUAACUGUCUAUUUAAUUUAAUAAUUAUAAUUAGUGUGUGAUCCUUCUUUGUGGAUUAAAAGUAUAAGUUACCUUAGGGAUAACAGCGUGAUUUUCUUUGAGAGUUCUUCACAACAAGAGUA